UAUUAUAAAACGUAUUAAACCUACUGAAACACAUACAAAUGACUCUUUGUGUUUGAAUUGAAUUUCUUCUUAUAAAACUGUUUUUUCUUAUAAUAAACCUAGCCAAACAAACAGUACAGAAAGAAUGUUCUUGUCAUCAAACACCAGGACAAUACUUCUCCACACCUGCUACUGUCUGAAGAAGUCAGAGUGGGCUGUGACCUUUGACCUGUGAGAAGAUGACACACCAUUACCGUUCCUAUCGACAAUGAUCCAGACCACCCUAAUGAGAAAAAUGGGUCACGGGCUGAAGGAGGUGAAUUCAGUGUCAAACUAGGACACCUGCUGUCCAUGUGGAAGUGAAGAAGACCAUCGUUUCUUCUUUCUUUACUCCCAGUGUUCUCUGCUGAACGUAGACAAGGCAUCUCUGUGGUUUAAUCAAUACGUGCUGCAGGAAAGAAGGAACUGUUCUCCACUAGAGACCUGUAAAAGUUUGUCACGAUGAGCCUCCUCGUGUGGUGUAUGUUGAUUCUGUUCCUGUGUUCAAGCAGUAAAGAGAUGGUGGUUCAAACAAGACCAGUGAGCACUGCUUUCCUUCGAUGGCAUUUGUAUCAGAUGGAAAAAGGACAAAACAUUGUACAAAACAUCAAACGACAUUCAGACGGAACCUUUUCCAGCGACUUCAGCCACUAUCUCGAUAAAAUUAAGGCCAAAAAUUUUGUGGAUUGGUUGGCCAGCGUGAAACAAGGAUGUGACGAAGCAGCGCUACGCAUUUCAGACGUAUGACCAUCUGUAUGUAGCGUGUUUAUGUGUUUAUAAGUGUUCUUUGUAUAAAGAAAAACUAUCUGUCAGUUAAAAAAAUGCUGAGGCAUUCUCAAAUGGGCAAAAAAAGAGAAAACCUGUUGUUGUUGUUUUUUUUAAAUAAAACACAUUUUAUUCCGUGCUUAACGUUCAUUUCCAUGCUCUGCUUUGCGUAAAAUGUCUC
Molecule: long non-coding RNA, 964 nt
Organism: Cynoglossus semilaevis (tongue sole)
Lineage: Eukaryota; Metazoa; Chordata; Actinopteri; Pleuronectiformes; Cynoglossidae
Exons: 4
Source: RefSeq, a predicted model, not a curated record